ACGAGCAUAGAACAACCCUUUCUUCUUCUCUUCCUUCCUCUUUAUCUUACUUCGCUCGAGCACCACCAUCACCAUAUCAACAGUUACAUUUGAAGAAGAAAAUUGUCAGAAACGACCUAAAAAGAUAAGUUUAAUCUUUCCUAAUCUUCGUAUUUCAAAUACAAUCUCUAAGUCUUCGAUUUGAAUCGAUUUUUAGAAAAAAGAUUUUUAGGGUUUUGAAAACCCAAAUCUCUAUUUUUAUCUCAAAUUUCUCGAUCAAAAUAUGAACAGAGCUUAGGUAUGUAUUCUCCUUAUCUAAAUCUUUCUAUUGAGAUCAAAAUCUCGAGAAAAAAAUUGAAUAACAUGACUCUUAGGUUGAAGAUUGAAAAUCAUGGAAUCUCUUUAUCAUUAUUCUUGAUUGAAAAUCUGUCUUUAGAUCCGUAAUCAGCGUCAUUGAAUCUCUAUUACCCGUAAAAUCAAUUUGAUUUUCAUCGACUUUCAAUUUUCAACCUCAUAUUGAACUUAAUAUCAAAAUCUGUUUAGCAACUUGAUUAUAUACACCAGCAGAUGUAAUUUGAUAACAUGUCUCGAGCUAUGUAUCUAACUAUUUGUGACUUGUCCAAGUUCAGGUGUUUGAGUCUCAACCUUGUUUCUCUUGAUGGUGUAUGUUUUCUUUCUUCAAUGUUUUGUAAGAAUUAGUAAUUAAGCUUCGAUAAUGCUUGUUUGAUUGAAAAUGAGUUUUAUUUGAAAUUGAUUUCUGAUGUUAAAUGGGUUUUUAUGAAUUUUUCUCACAGACUAUUAUAGCAGGUGUCUUGGCAGGAAUAAGUGAUUUUGUAGCUCAGAAGCUGUCUGGUAUACAGAACCUUCAAUUGAAACGCCUUCUUUUUGAAGUGAUAACUUCUCUUCUUCUUUUCUCAGUUCAAAUUGAAGUUGUUGAAUUUGCAUAUUUUCUCUCUUGCUUCUGAUGUUGUUAUCUUGAAUUUGCAUAUUAGCUUCGUUGCUUCGUAAUCUCAAUAUACCAUACUGCUUACAAUUGCUCUCUGUCCACCAAAUAGCCAAUUUUAGCAGCCACAAUCUUUAAUCUGUAAUUUGUAUGCUGUUAAGUGUAUGAGUUUAAAGAUGAAGUUUAAUUUUUUUUUAUUAAUGUAUUUAGCGAGGUUUCAAAGACUGGAAUAAAUUACAAUCAUUUGGAAUAAAACACACUCCAACUGGAGCAACUGUUGUUUCUCCUGAUGCCGCCUGCAGAGAUCAAAGAGCAAGAUGAGGAGAUUAAAGCAGAUUGAGUUAAUUAUCAGCUGGAAGUGAUGUGUCACCUAAAGUGACUAAAGAUAAUGUGUGCUUACUGUUUAAUAGCUUUGGAUAAAAUGUUAUGCAUAUGUUGUUACGCCAGUUGUGAGUUCAUGUGUAGAAUAUAUACCUACUUUAUCUACUCCCUGGAUUUAUGGUGGGUUGCAGUUGAGAAAUUGUCCAGAGGCUGGGAGGUGAUGCAGCAAAUAUACAAAGUGACAUGAGAUGUUUGGACCGUGGUCCGUGGGAAAUGGUGGUAGUGGUGCAGCAUGCGCUUACCAUUUCGUUUAUAAUGUUUUGAUCUAUUUGAUAGUAGCAAUCACCCAAUAUCUUGAUCAUUUUCUGCCUUGCUGACUCUCUUUUGUAGGGGCAAAAGCUUUUUUAUAAACAUUGACUGUUCUUCUCUUAUUCUUACCCAUAUAUAAUCAUUACAUUAUAUGUGCAGGUCCUUGGAUCAAUGCUAGGAAGACAAAUGAAGUACUAGAACAAGGAUUUUACACACAAAUGAAAUAUACCUUUAUUUAGAUAUGGGUAACCGUACCUAAACGUGUAUAUUGAGUUGGCUCAAUAACAGUUAACCGAAGUUAGCCAUAUGAACACUUUUGCAUUAACCAUGUUCAUCUUAACACUUCUGGAUCAAUUGAUGAUCAAAUGAAUCUAGUUGUGUUACUCAUAGAGUUGUUCAAUUGUUUAUAUUCUCAUAGAAGUAUACAAGACACAAUUGAAGUAUAUUAGGUUACUCAUAAGACUCGUUGGUAGACUAGCUCAGCAACCUGUUCAAUUUAUGUAGUAAUAUGUUGUUGGAGCUUCGAUUGUUAGGCGUCCAACUAGUUAAUGUAAUACUUUUUAUCCUCAAA
Papaver somniferum (opium poppy) is the source of this 2123-nucleotide long non-coding RNA. RefSeq lists it as uncharacterized. The record is from RefSeq and is a predicted model, not a curated record. Lineage: Eukaryota; Viridiplantae; Streptophyta; Magnoliopsida; Ranunculales; Papaveraceae. The transcript is spliced from 2 exons.